This is a long non-coding RNA of Oncorhynchus kisutch (coho salmon), 2436 nucleotides long. RefSeq lists it as uncharacterized. The record is from RefSeq and is a predicted model, not a curated record. NCBI's taxonomy places the organism in Eukaryota, Metazoa, Chordata, Actinopteri, Salmoniformes, Salmonidae. The transcript is spliced from 2 exons.
CCUGGCUACGUUCUUCCUAGAAUGCGUUCGGACAAUCAACCACGUGCGGGCGCGCUACGUACAUGCUGAUCAAACUUGCAGUCUGUUGGGCGGACAAAACCGCAGAAAACCAGCCUUUCGACAAGAAAGGAGAACGUUUCGAAAUAGAAUACGAGGGAAUCACUUGAACCCGACGGAGCCAAGGACCCAGGGCGCGAUGCAAGGCAGGCACCUUUGCACAACCCAUGUCCCUGCGCGCGGUGCAUUCACAGUUCACGGAGUCCUCGACCUAAAUGUGAUGUGACGGGAGAACCUUUACUGAAACUAACGGGAAUAUAGUAUCGUGGAAGGCUGACCGAGCUGUGAACCGAGGCCCUAACACGGAGCAAAUUAACAUCAACGAAAAUAGCACUGCGUUUUAAGAUCGCUAUAUGCGCGAUGCAGCAAAUGCAGCCAGCGGUGUCAGGUCUCCUUAGCGCGGGGAUGCAUAGCAAAUAGCCUCCCCGCUUCAAGUUACAGGGCGCGUGCGGGCAACUCAGUGAACGUCCUCUGGCCUCGGUCUUCGAACACCAGACACAGAGAUGGAACUGGAAGAAGUGGUUCUGGAAAUAAUAUUUGCUCAGCCUGCGUCCUUUUGGCAAGCAAACAGUACAAUAGCAGUCUACGACAUUAUCUCUCAUUAUGGCAUCGGCUGAACUAGUAGCCAGGAUGAUAACGCUGUCUCUGCCACUUAUCGGUUUCUGUCCAAGCCCCUGCCAUCCUUGGCACAUAGCCUGCCAAUGCAACGGCUGUCCAGUUUCAUAGGACAAGUCAGGAAAUAUAUAUAUGAUAGCACACUAUAGCCUGCAUGUGUUACCUGUUCACAAGGUCGCCUAUACACCUGUUUAGAUGGAAUGCACAAUAAAAACCCGUUUGGGACCAAUACUAUCCAACAUCACCAUAUUCAACCCUGUCACAGAUAUUCAGUCACAAUUCAGAGGUCUGGAUACAGCUACAGGGAGCUCGCAGGAGUAGUGAGCAGAGACUGGGUCUGAGACAGAUUACUAUCAUGCUGUACGAAUGGCAGAGGCAGAAAUGUAUUUUCUGGUUCAAUGGAAUAUCUAGGCUGAAAUGGUACCCUAACCCACUACAUAAUGCACUACUUUGAGCAGGGCCAUGUACAAUAUUAAGGCUGAUUCUAAAAUGGUUCUGGUGAAAAGUAGCUCAUUACAUCUGGAAUAGGGUUGCAUUUGGGACAUAACCCUAGUGUGCUUGACCUCUCCUUGACCUGCAUCAGGCAACAGCAGCUAAGAAGCAGCAGCUUAUACACCACGUGUCAGAUGUGGGUUCAGUUACUAUUUGAAAUCUUUCAAAUACUUUUGCUAUAGGCUGCCUAAAGUGCCGGUGGGAUAUACAGACUUGGGACUUUUCUAUUGGUCCAUUAAGCCAGACAAACUCAAUAAAGCACAGAUAAAUUACUUGAAAUAAUUUCAAAUAGUAUUUGAACCCAGGUUGAAUGUUAGAGGCCUGCAGCUGAACAAAGUUGGUUCGACAUUCAUGAUCAUCAGAAGGAGUUACAUACAGCUGACUGUCAUUAAGAAAAUGCCUUGAAGUGCUUUUAAACCAAUUAUGUAUGCCAUCAGCUAAUUAAUUCCACUGCUGGCAAUCCAGGCUGGGGCAUAGGAGGAGGAGGGGACAGAGGAGGUGGCGGAGGGGGGGUGAACUGUUGACUCUCUGUUGUUCAUCCUUUCAAUAACUUGCCACUAGGCCUAUGUGUGUGCGUCUGUGUGAGCGUGUGCGUGUGUGAGCACUAUGAGUGCUCCACUGAACCCUGCCACCUAAAGUUUGCAAACUGCAGGAUGGCUUCAUCCCAACAUGUAGCUUCAGUCCAUUAGCUAGAGUCAGUUCAGUCAGACUCUAACACAACAGGGCUGUUACAACUCAUCAAUGGAAAGGAUGAACGCUUUCGCAAUCAAGUUGGAUAGAUUACACAGGAUUCACCUUUGUUACACAUAAUUUGAAUACGCAAAACUAUAUUUUACUUGAAUUAAAAUUGGCUUGACUAAGUGGUAGUAAUCAAAGGGAGGAAUUUGAAGAUAAAAGACGAAACGAGAGGGAGGAAUAUGGAGAGUGUGAGGUGAGGAGCAUCGCUUAAAAGCAGGGAUGGGUAACUGGCGGCCCCCUUUUGAAGGUCCUUGGAUCCAUUUCACCUCCCACCCCAAAAAAAAAAAAAACUGUGGCCCGUCAUGAUGAGUUCAGAUUUUUUUGUGGCCCCCACCCUAAUCAAAGUCGCCCAUCCCUGCUUUAAAACAAGUCAAAAGCAAAAGGGAGGGUGGGAGAGAAGUCAAUCAUCAUCUGCCGUAAAACAGAAAGCAAGAGGGAGGGGUAUGAGAGAGAGGUCCCCUUCACUUGCAUGCUUUAAAGGUCCAAUGCAGACAUUUGUAUCUAAAUAUCAAAUAAAUCAUUUCUGGGUAAUAA